This is a long non-coding RNA of Fukomys damarensis (Damara mole-rat), 2808 nucleotides long. Lineage: Eukaryota; Metazoa; Chordata; Mammalia; Rodentia; Bathyergidae. The record is from Ensembl.
CCCAAACAAUAUUUUCUGGGGACUUAAAAAAGGAAAUGUGUAAGAUGUCGAAAAUUGACGGCCACCUAUGGAUUGCAGGCCUAGAAAACAUCCCUAGGAAGGGAUAAGAAUCAAUUUUAGCUCAUUUGUUUAGUGUGGCCUGAGUUUCACCUAUUAUCCUUUUCUGUUUUGCAUAGGGAUCUUGGCAAAAUCACCAACAAAUGCAUGAAGGAAGCUGAAGGCAAUUUGAGUAAUGGUUCCAUAGAAAUUGAAGAAACAUGGAUGUCUCCGAAGGAGAGUAGAGAGCUUGGUUAGUUGUAUCCUAAAAUUAGGAUGCAAUUAAGGUACGUCUCCUUUUUGAGUUCAAUUGAAAUGCUUUGUUCUUUCCAUGUCAGAGAAUUUCUUCUCUUUUUUCCUCAGUCUGUCUCUCUCUCCCUCUCUCUCCUGUCUUCCUUUUCUUCCUCUCAUUAGCAGAUGUCUUUUAUAAUUGAUGUUGUUCACGUCCUUUCAUCAAAUGUAUGCCACAUCACUUAGGCAAACCAGCAGACACGGCACCUAAAUACACAUUAGCGAAGAAUGGCAUCCCGGAGACGCGUCGACUGUCUCAUCAGGGCAGUUAUAAUAAGCAUCUUGGUGCCACUGAAUGCAAUGCUGUAUUCAAACAGUAGCUUUCAUCUUCACUCUUUUUAAAUAUAAAAGUAAACCUUGAAGCCCUUUGAAGGACCUAACCAACAACAUACAUAUGAAAAUAGAUCAGUAAGGCUUUGAGAAAUACCGUGAUGUAAAAAUCUGUAAAGCAUCUUUGCAUUUUUUUCCAAGAAAGACCUCCAGGUAAAUGAUGGCUUUUAAUAAGACACAUGACAGUCUCAAUUAUGAGAAUCAUUAUUGUGUGCCCUGUGUGCCAUUUUGUGUUCCCAGCAGGAUACCUUUUUUUUUCCACAUCAAGAAUUUCCAGGGCUGUCUACUGUUGUCUGAGUAAAGUACAUUGAAUGUUUCCCCGAAGCUGCACUAAUUCAAAGGAAAAAAAAAAAAAGCAAAACACACAGCAACGACAACAAAAAUUUUCUCAAGUGGUCAGACAGACUGGAACUAGUGGAUUUAUAGGUUUUGUUACAACUCCCUGCUCCUACUCUCUUGGGAAUCCCAAAGCAAACUACAGAACCAUAAAGUGAGACAACUUCGACCUCCUCCAAGUUCAGCUUACUCCUGCAGAAAAUGCCUUUCAGAUAGCUCUGGUGCAUGUUUAAGGAUUUUAGAAUCCUGAAAAAUGUACAAAGAAUGAAGCCUGAGUAAAUAUCCAAUGGCACGUGUACAGAGGCAUGGAAAUGGGUCAGUUUAAGCAAAUCAUUAAACUUCAUUCACUCACAUCUUUCUAAAAAUAGAAACAUUUUGUCCCACUUGGAAUCACUGCAAAGACUCAGGCUUAAGUAGUUUCAUCAAAUCCAGAACUUUAAUAUGUAUUCCCCCUUUCCCAGCUCUGUCAACCAGUGGACACACACUAUGUCCUCAGAAAAAAUGCCAUAUUUUGGAAACUUAUGCUAUUUACAAGCAUGUAAAUAUACUGGAGUUUAGGAAAUGUCUGUUUUCAAUUUCUCAUUAUGUUGUGCAUAUUUUCAUUUCAUUAUUUCUCCCCAAGUAUUCCAAGUUUAAUAAUUAAAGUGUAUCUAAUUUUAGAAUUUUACUGCCCAUUCCAAUAAGAUAUCUUUGGUAACUAUAGAGACUUUCAAAAUUAUACUUUUAACAUUAUAUUAGCUUUAACUAAAAUAAAAGGUUAUAUUUAAAGGGGAGGAAAUUGAGCUCCUUUCCAUUACCUCUGCCAUAUGCCUCGAGCUAUUUCCCACAAUAGAAACAAAAGCUUAUCUUUUUUCUCUAAUGGACAUGUUUAGCUUUUGGAUAUUAAUUUUCUAAUCUCUAAGAAAUGACAAUAUUUUUUCUGGAGUGCCUCAAAUGUUUCCAGUUUAGUAUAAGAAAAUUAUGAUAAAUUAAAAAUGUUUAAAAGGUAUUUCAUAAAGCCAAUUUACCUUAUCAGAGAUAUAAUCUUGCAGUGUGGAUUUGCACAAUGGUGUGUUCACUCCAAGCUUUAAAAAUCAGUAUUAUUGGCCAAACUUUUGUGUCAUUCAUCUGAUCUUAAUAAAAGUAGAUCAAAAUAGAAUUGAGAAUGUGAAAGAAACUAUAAAUGGAUAUUUAGUUUAAAAGUUUAUAUUUGGUAAACAAUUUGUGUUACCCUAAAAACAUAAAAGAGGAUGUUACCCUCAAUUUUAGCAGAAAAUAAAAACUAAAAAUAGAAUGCAAAAUAAUAUAUUUUUGUGGUUUUGUUUCCAGGAUGGCAGGAUUUCUUUGCAAAUCUCACGUAAAAUGUGCUUGCCCUGUAGUUACAUACAAGCAAAGAGGAGAAGCCAACUUGUUUGUUUAAAUCAAUGUGUUUGAAAUUAUUUUGGGAAUGCUUAGACUUUUAAGGUGACUAUAAUUCUUUUCGUUUGUCUGCGAGUCAGAAUUUCUUCAUUUGAGCCAUGAGCAAAAUCCAAUGUAACAUUAAGGAAAGCAGUUUUAAGCAAAAUAUGAUGACCAGACCUUACAAUGUAAAUAGCUCUCUCAAAGAGAAAGGUGCACCGAGCUAUGAAACUAGAGGCUACAAGUCAAUGAAAUGUUCAUCAAUUUUUUAGACAUUGACACAAUGCAAAUUUAGUAAAAGAACAAGAUGUGAUGAAAAAAUGAUUCUAAAUUUAUUUUAUGUUGCUUUUAACGAUCUUUUUAAUGGUAUCUUUUGAGAAAAUAUCUUCUAGCUAAAAAUUAUUUUAAUAAAAAUGCACAAGAAUGUUAGAAUAUUUU